AGCGAACGCUGGCGGCAUGCCUAACACAUGCAAGUCGCGCGGUCAGCAAUGGCAGCGGCGGACGGGUGCGUAACGCGUAGGAACGUGUCCUGAGGUGGGGGACAACCCUGGGAAACUGGGGCUAAUACCGCAUAUGGGCUGAGGCCCAAAGCCGAAAGGCGCCUUAGGAGCGGCCUGCGUCCGAUUAGCUAGUUGGUGGGGUAACUGCCUACCAAGGCUCCGAUCGGUAGCUGGUCUGAGAGGACGAUCAGCCACACUGGGACUGAGACACGGCCCAGACUCCUACGGGAGGCAGCAGUGGGGAAUAUUGGACAAUGGGCGCAAGCCUGAUCCAGCAAUGCCGCGUGGGUGAAGAAGGUCUUCGGAUCGUAAAGCCCUUUCGACAGGGACGAUGAUGACGGUACCUGUAGAAGAAGCCCCGGCUAACUUCGUGCCAGCCGCCGCAGUAA
This 449-nucleotide ribosomal RNA is filed under the name uncultured bacterium. RNAcentral's name for it is "partial 16S ribosomal RNA". It matches the Rfam family "Bacterial small subunit ribosomal RNA", at positions 29 to 523 of the family's 1533-position model. The record is from RNAcentral.